CUAUAUAUUUAUUUUUUUAAAUUUUUAGAAAAUUCAUUUACAUAAUGGGAUUUAGAUUUUCACAGACCUUUUGAAUAAAGAAUCCCUUUUAUGAUAAGAUAAUCCUACUCAAUUAACAAUAUAAAGAAACAUUUUUGGAUUUUAAAAAGAUAGGAGAAUUUUAAGAUUCAGCCAUCCACCGUCAAAUAAAGGAUAAAAUUAUGAUUCUCCAUCAUUCUUGAUGGCCAUCAGUGAAUGCCAAGUAACAAAACAAUAUAUAAAGUCAAAUGUGACUAUAUUAAUUGUAAAACUUCUAAAAUAAGAAGUGACAAAAUAAAUAACCAUUAUAAACAUAAACAUCCUCAUGUCAAGUUAUCUGAUAUCAAAUUUACAAAGAUAGCUAUCAAAAAGGAUAAUAAUUGGGUAUCCUUAAAUAAAGAUAUUCCAUUCAAUAUCACAAAUGGGGUUGAAACCAAGUUACAAAAAAAAUCAAUAACAUCUUACUUCCAAAAACACAAAUCUUUUAUUGAAGAUUCCCAAAUUAUAUUAUCUCAUACAAUGCCCAGUUCCAGUGAUCU
Molecule: long non-coding RNA, 557 nt
Organism: Gordionus sp. m RMFG-2023
Lineage: Eukaryota; Metazoa; Nematomorpha; Gordioida; Chordodea; Parachordodidae
Exons: 5
Source: RefSeq, a predicted model, not a curated record